This 964-nucleotide long non-coding RNA is filed under the name Vitis vinifera (wine grape). RNAcentral's name for it is "long non-coding RNA (VVIN_LNC002164)". Lineage: Eukaryota; Viridiplantae; Streptophyta; Magnoliopsida; Vitales; Vitaceae. The record is from RNAcentral.
CAAGGUUUUAGUUGAAAACAUGAAAUCAUCCAAUUUUUAAAAUAUUUAAAACAAAAUAACUCUUGGAUGAUUUUGGUGCAUAAGUAGAGAAUGUAAUGUAUGAAAAUCCUAGUGCACCAACAACCUUACAAAGAGAUCUUAUGAAGCUUGGGUCUUGAAAAACACUUCUCUUUGAGGUGGUCUUCUUCUUCAUGAUUUCUCCUUGGCUUGAUUUGUCUUUGUGAUUGCCACUUUGGAAAUCGUCUUGCCUAAUCACACUUGAAAUAUAAUCAUUAGUUCUAAACCUUAUUUUGUUAUCAUCAAAAUCAAGAUUAACCAAACCUUGGUUUCACAAAAUGAUCACAGGAAAAGUGUAUAACCAUGAAAAAGUAUUUGACUUUGAAAAAAAAAAUUAAAACAUGGUAGGUGACGAAUUGUGGGUUGUGAAAAAAAAAAUCAAAUGAAGAAGAUCAGAGACACGUGCCCUAUUUUCAAAAGAAAACGAAGGAAAAAUAAAAAGAAAAAGUGCACCACUAAUAGUAAACCACUUUGAAGAGCCCUUUUAAGGAUUAUGAGAGCGAUUUCAUUUGAAAGAAUUUCUUAAGAAUUAUCUAAAAAGUGCACCAAUAUUCUAUGAGCAACUCCUCAUAACGGAAUGUUGUAAUAGGGCGCUUUUCAGCUUAACAAUGGUAUUUUGUUGAACUCAUACCAUACAUAUACAUUUUGUUCUCUAGAGUAGAAUAAUGAGCUUAGAAGCAGUUUUGAUGAUUUAAUUAGGCUACCUUCUAUGCAUAUAUUAAAGAGAUGAACAAUUGGAACUCAAGUACGAAUUCAUAAGAAAAAGGAACAAAUAUAUUAGACAAGCCCACUCUCAAUAAACUUGGUCAACUCAUACAAAAAUAAGACCAAGGUUUUAAAGUAAUACAACCAAGGUAGAAUGAAAUAUUAGUUCCAAAUAGUUUGUAUUCUAAAGAUUAGAUAUAAC